UGGGGAAUAUUGCACAAUGGGCGAAAGCCUGAUGCAGCGACGCCGCGUGAGUGAUGAAGUAUUUCGGUACGUAAAGCUCUAUCAGCAAGGAAGAUAAUGACGGUACUUGACUAAGAAGCCCCGGCUAACUACGUGCCAGCAGCCGCGGUAAUACGUAGGGGGCAAGCGUUAUCCGGAUUUACUGGGUGUAAAGGGAGCGUAGAUGGUCUAGCAAGUCUGAUGUGAAAGCUCGGGGCUCAACCCCGGAACUGCAUUGGAAACUGCUUGACUAGAGUGCAGGAGAGGUAAGUGGAAUUCCUAGUGUAGCGGUGAAAUGCGUAGAUAUUAGGAGGAACACCAGUGGCGAAGGCGACUUACUGGACUGUAACUGACAUUGAGGCUCGAAAGCGUGGGGAGCAAA
RNAcentral lists this ribosomal RNA (400 nucleotides) under uncultured bacterium. RNAcentral's name for it is "bacterial SSU rRNA". It matches the Rfam family "Bacterial small subunit ribosomal RNA", at positions 355 to 772 of the family's 1533-position model. The record is from RNAcentral.